AUGAAGGCCAUGGCGGAGGAACUGUCCUCCAAGCGUCAUCGGGUUGAGCUCCACGACAAGGAGACGCUGGAGAUCGUCUGCACCAGCGAACCAGAAAAGGCCAAAGAGGUGAUCUCCAGGAUGUGGAUGAAGCUUGGCGGCAGGUUUCGUAGGAUCGUCGGCGUUGGUGUGCACUACACCAACGAAGAUGAACCUCCCCAGAUGGCGGCAGUCCUGCAGUUGUGCGUCGACGAACUCUGCUUGGUGUACCACAUCACCGCGGCCACAAAAUGGCCCAAGCGCCUGACCGACAUGCUGCAGCAUGACAAGUUGUUCACAUUUGCCGGUUUCAGCAUUGAAACCGACAAAGAGAAGCUGAAGUUGUCCGGUAUGGAGAUCAACCCCAACAAGUUCAUCGACAUUCAGCGCAAGUGGAGAGUUCCAUACACCGGAAAAGAGUACGACUCCUUGACUGAUGUUGCAGCCAGCGUCAUCCACCCAUUCUACAAAGGCAUGAAGAACAAGAUCAACACG
Molecule: ribosomal RNA, 513 nt
Filed under: Triticum aestivum (bread wheat)
Lineage: Eukaryota; Viridiplantae; Streptophyta; Magnoliopsida; Poales; Poaceae
Description: partial small subunit ribosomal RNA
Source: RNAcentral